CUACGGGUUGCAGCGGUGAGGAAUAUUGCACAAUGGGGGGAACCCUGAUGCAACAACGCCGCGUGGAGGAUGACGCAUUUCGGUGUGUAAACUCCUUUUAUAUGUCAAGAAAAUGACGGUAGCAUAUGAAUAAGCACCGGCUAACUCCGUGCCAGCAGCCGCGGUAAUACGGAGGGUGCAAGCGUUACUCGGAAUCACUGGGCGUAAAGGACGCGUAGGCGGGUUGGAAAGUCAGGUGUGAAAUCCUACAGCUUAACUGUAGAACUGCACUUGAAACUUCUAAUCUAGAGCAUGGGAGGGGGAGAUGGAAUUAGUGGUGUAGGGGUAAAAUCCGUAGAUAUCACUAGGAAUACCUAAAGCGAAGGCGAUCUCCUGGAACAUUACUGACGCUAAGGCGUGAAAGCGUGGGGAGCAAACAGGAUUAGAUACCCCUGUAGUC
RNAcentral lists this ribosomal RNA (439 nucleotides) under uncultured bacterium. Its description in RNAcentral is "partial 16S ribosomal RNA". It matches the Rfam family "Bacterial small subunit ribosomal RNA", at positions 339 to 795 of the family's 1533-position model. The record is from RNAcentral.